Molecule: non-coding RNA, 1217 nt
Organism: Nothobranchius furzeri (turquoise killifish)
Lineage: Eukaryota; Metazoa; Chordata; Actinopteri; Cyprinodontiformes; Nothobranchiidae
Source: RefSeq, a predicted model, not a curated record
UUUCUGCACCUGAACAGCAGCCUGCAGUACAGCCAUCGUUCCACUGGGUGGAGUUGUGGUGAGCUUCAUCAGCUCGUCUGCUGCAGGACACAAAGCAUCCAGCUACAGAGGCAGGGGGAAACUCAAGCAGCAGCAGCCCAUCGUACUACAGACUGAAUAAAUUUAAUUGUACAACACGAGGAGUAGCUACAACCCAAUGUUCUACCUUUGACUGAAUAAUGUCUGAAUACAGAGGAAGAACCAAAGCUCACAGGUGAAAAUCAUUCUAAAUAUUGCCGUUUAUUCUGUAGUUACAAACAGGCCCUUAUUUAAAGCACCUAAAGAUGUCAAACACAUUUAGAACAUGAAUAUUCUUAUAGCUAGCUUCUGAUAUGUGCACCUUCUCAUGGCUUGUGUCCCAGCAUGCAGCGCUCUAGCCCAGGAAGCAGCAUCGCUCCGCCCCUCGGUCACAUGACCAGCUGCUGCCGUGAGGAACAAACUGUACAACUUAAGAGACAGCAGAGAGGAGUGUCAGCGUGCAACUUCAGCUGUCAAACACCGUCUGAUUGGUCUCACCGCUCCAGAAGACCCGCCCAUCUUCUCCUGCACCAACCCAGCAAGGACAGACAGGAGUUGCCCCGGGCAACCAGGGACCACAUGAUCCUGGAGCCAGUUCUGAAUGGCUUCAAUAAAAUGUUACACAAGUCUGUUUAGGGGCAUCUUUAAUCCUGCCUUUAAGCCCCGCCCACUACUGACGGCGUUUCCUACCUCUGGCAGCUUGAGCGUGAGUGUUCCCACAGUCUCCGUCCCCGGCGGCUCGAUCCAGGGAGUUUAGUUCCUCCUGCUUGUCCAGCAAAGUGGAACAGAUCUUUUCCAAAGCGUUACGCAUCAUAGGACUCCAAGGUCCUGACGGAAACAAAAACUAGCGUUUAUGAUUUUGACUGAUGCAGCCGGGUGCUCGUUUGUAAAAACAUCCUAACAGAAAAAGCUUAAUUAGACGAGCUUCUGGAAAUACUUUACUGCAUAAAAGCAACACAUCGCUCUGUUCUUGUGCUGUUUGUUACCCAGGUGGCAUCUAACUGUGAGGUUCCAUCUUUACGAGACUAAAGAAACUGACCUUCGGCGUGUGUGUCGUCCUGCGGCCGCGUGGUGAGAAAAGGACAGUCUAUGAUGUAGCUGCGGCCGCUCACACACACACUGCUGAGACUGGGCCAGGCGGGGGCGCUAGUUGUAGCAUC